Molecule: ribosomal RNA, 201 nt
Filed under: uncultured bacterium
Lineage: Bacteria
Description: partial 16S ribosomal RNA
Rfam family: Bacterial small subunit ribosomal RNA
Source: RNAcentral
UACGAAGGGGGCGAGCGUUGUUCGGAAUUACUGGGCGUAAAGGGCGCGCAGGCGGCCUUAGAAGUCAGAUGUGAAAGCCCCGGGCUCAACCUGGGAAUGGCAUUUGAUACUCUGAGGCUGGAGUACGGGAGAGGAGAGUGGAAUCCCAGUGUAGAGGUGAAAUUCGUAGAUAGUUGGGAAGAACACCGGUGGCGAAGGCGG